AUUGAACGCUGGCGGCAUGCCUUACACAUGCAAGUCGAACGGUAACGGGCCUUCGGGUGCCGACGAGUGGCGAACGGGGGCGUAAUACAUCGGAACGUGCCCGAUCGUGGGGGGUAACGAGGCGAAAGCUUUGCUAAUACCUCAUACGAUCUACGGAUGAAAGCAGGGGACCGCAAGGCCUUGCGCGGACGGAGCGGUCGAUGGCAGAUUAGGUAGUUGGUGGGAUAAAAGCUUACCAAGCCGACGAUCUGUAGCUGGUCUGAGAGGAUGAUCCGCCACACUGGAACCGAGACACGGCCCAGACUCCUACGGGAGGCAGCAGUGGGGAAUUUUGGACAAUGGGCGCAAGCCUGAUCCAGCCAUGCCGCGUGCAGGAUGAAGGCCUUCGGGUUGUAAACUGCUUUUGUACGGAACGAAAAGCCUUCUUUUAAUACAGGAGGGUCAUGACGGUACCGUAAGAAUAAGCACCGGCUAACUACGUG
Molecule: ribosomal RNA, 482 nt
Filed under: uncultured bacterium
Lineage: Bacteria
Description: partial 16S ribosomal RNA
Rfam family: Bacterial small subunit ribosomal RNA
Source: RNAcentral